GACGAACGCUGGCCGCGUGCUUAACACAUGCAAGUCGAACGGAAAGGCCCUGCUUUUGUGGGGUGCUCGAGUGGCGAACGGGUGAGUAACACGUGAGUAACCUGCCCUUGACUUUGGGAUAACUUCAGGAAACUGGGGCUAAUACCGGAUAGGAGCUCGUGCUGCAUGGUGGGGGUGGGAAAGUUUCGGCGGAUGGGGAUGGACUCGCGGCUUAUCAGCUUGUUGGUGGGGGAGUGGCUUACCAAGGCUUUGACGGGUAGCCGGCCUGAGAGGGUGACCGGCCACAUUGGUCCUGACACACCGCCCAUCCUCCUCCGCGACCCAGCAGUCCGGACUAUUGCCCACUCCUCCCAAGCCUAUCCCCGCCACGCCGCGUGCCUGACCUCGGCCUUCCGGUUCUCGGCCGCUUUCGCCUCUGGCGAAGCCUGACUUACCGCAACUGGUACCGAAGCACCCGCUACCCUCGUG
Molecule: ribosomal RNA, 468 nt
Filed under: uncultured bacterium
Lineage: Bacteria
Description: partial 16S ribosomal RNA
Rfam family: Bacterial small subunit ribosomal RNA
Source: RNAcentral